UUGUUCGCAAUGGGCGCAAGCCUGACGACGCAACGCCGCGUGGAGGAUGAAGGUCUUCGGAUUGUAAACUCCUGUUGAUGGGGACGAAUGGGCUCCGACCUAAUACGUCGGGGCAAUGACGGUACCCGUUGAGGAAGCCACGGCUAACUCUGUGCCAGCAGCCGCGGUAAUACAGAGGUGGCAAGCGUUGUUCGGAAUUACUGGGCGUAAAGGGCGCGUAGGUGGUGUUGUCAGUCAGGCGUGAAAUCCCCAGGCUUAACUUGGGAACUGCGUCUGAUACUACAAGACUUGAGUUCGGGAGAGGGAUGUGGAAUUCCAGGUGUAGCGGUGAAAUGCGUAGAUAUCUGGAGGAACACCGGUGGCGAAGGCGGCAUCCUGGACCGAAACUGACACUGAGGCGCGAAAGCUAGGGGAGCAAAC
This 420-nucleotide ribosomal RNA is filed under the name uncultured bacterium. Its description in RNAcentral is "bacterial SSU rRNA". It matches the Rfam family "Bacterial small subunit ribosomal RNA", at positions 362 to 773 of the family's 1533-position model. The record is from RNAcentral.